Molecule: microRNA precursor, 98 nt
Filed under: Paramuricea clavata
Lineage: Eukaryota; Metazoa; Cnidaria; Anthozoa; Malacalcyonacea; Plexauridae
Source: RNAcentral
GGAUGACGUAGCCUGACGUCGGACUUUCUCGACUCAUUUCCUGGCAUUUGAAAUGCCAGGAAAUGAGUCGAGGAAGUCCGACCUCAGGCUACGUCAUC